RNAcentral lists this long non-coding RNA (239 nucleotides) under Catharus ustulatus (Swainson's thrush). Its description in RNAcentral is "lncRNA (ENSCUSG00005006190.1)". Lineage: Eukaryota; Metazoa; Chordata; Aves; Passeriformes; Turdidae. The record is from RNAcentral.
UCUCUCAAGUGUUGCCCACGAAUAGCUUGUUGCCCACGAAUCCCAUUUUUGUGGAUGACAACGAGACUCCAGGGCCGUGAGAAGAACCUGCUGCCACGAGGGGAUCCCGGGAUUGUGAGAACUUCCUCUCCACGGAGCAAUGAAGAGGCAGAGAUUCCCAAAUGUUUGGUUGCGUGACAAUUGCAACAUCAGGGAUACCUCGAGAGGCAACGAUCGCUCCCUGACUGUAAGGGGAAAGA